RNAcentral lists this ribosomal RNA (465 nucleotides) under Vreelandella stevensii. RNAcentral's name for it is "partial 16S ribosomal RNA". It matches the Rfam family "Bacterial small subunit ribosomal RNA", at positions 338 to 795 of the family's 1533-position model. The record is from RNAcentral. Lineage: Bacteria; Pseudomonadati; Pseudomonadota; Gammaproteobacteria; Oceanospirillales; Halomonadaceae.
CCUACGGGUGGCUGCAGUGGGGAAUAUUGGACAAUGGGCGAAAGCCUGAUCCAGCCAUGCCGCGUGUGUGAAGAAGGCCUUCGGGUUGUAAAGCACUUUCAGUGGGGAAGAAAGCCUUGGGGCUAAUACCCUCGAGGAAGGACAUCACCCACAGAAGAAGCACCGGCUAACUCCGGGCCAGCAGCCGCGGUAAUACGGAGGGUGCGAGCGUUAAUCGGAAUUACUGGGCGUAAAGCGCGCGUAGGCGGUCUGAUAAGCCGGUUGUGAAAGCCCCGGGCUCAACCUGGGAACGGCAUCCGGAACUGUCAGGCUAGAGUGCAGGAGAGGAAGGUAGAAUUCCCGGUGUAGCGGUGAAAUGCGUAGAGAUCGGGAGGAAUACCAGUGGCGAAGGCGGCCUUCUGGACUGACACUGACGCUGAGGUGCGAAAGCGUGGGUAGCAAACAGGAUUAGAUACCCGAGUAGUC